UACGGGGGGGGCAAGCGUUGUUCGGAAUUACUGGGCGUAAAGGGCUCGUAGGCGGCCAACUAAGUCAGACGUGAAAUCCCUCGGCUUAACUGGGGAACUGCGUCCGAUACUGGAUGGCUUGGAUUUGGGAGAGGGAUGCGGAAUUCCAGGUGUAGCGGUGAAAUGCGUAGAUAUCUGGAGGAACACCGGUGGCGAAGGCGGCAUCCUGGACCAAUAUUGACGCUGAGGAGCGAAAGCCAGGGGAGCAAACGGG
This 253-nucleotide ribosomal RNA is filed under the name uncultured bacterium. RNAcentral's name for it is "partial 16S ribosomal RNA". It matches the Rfam family "Bacterial small subunit ribosomal RNA", at positions 524 to 776 of the family's 1533-position model. The record is from RNAcentral.